RNAcentral lists this unclassified non-coding RNA (236 nucleotides) under Calloria urticae. RNAcentral's name for it is "partial contains 5.8S ribosomal RNA, internal transcribed spacer 2, and large subunit ribosomal RNA". Lineage: Eukaryota; Fungi; Ascomycota; Leotiomycetes; Helotiales; Calloriaceae. The record is from RNAcentral.
CGCACAUUGCGCCCCUUGGUAUUCCAGGGGGCAUGCCUGUUCGAGCGUCAUUAUCACCCUUCAAGCUCAGCUUGGUGUUGGGGCAUGCUGUAACCGGCAGCCCCUAAAAUCAGUGGCGGUGCCGUUAGGCUCUAAGCGUGGUAAAUCUAUCGCUAUAGGGUCCUGACGUUACCUGCCAGAACCCCCCAUUUUUAAUGAUUGACCUCGAAUCAGGUAGGGAUACCCGCUGAACUUAA